GAAAUGCGAUACGUAUUGUGAAUUGCAGAUUUUCGUGAAUCAUCGAAUCUUUGAACGCACAUUGCACCCUCUGGUAUUCCAGAGGGUAUGCCUGUUUGAGCGUCAUUUCUCUCUCAAACCUUCGGGUUUGGUAUUGAGUGAUACUCUGUCAAGGGUUAACUUGAAAUAUUGACUUAGCAAGAGUGUACUAAUAAGCAGUCUUUCUGAAAUAAUGUAUUAGGUUCUUCCAACUCGUUAUAUCAGCUAGGCAGGUUUAGAAGUAUUUUAGGCUCGGCUUAACAACAAUAAACUAAAAGUUGACCUCAAAUCAGUAGA
This 315-nucleotide ribosomal RNA is filed under the name fungal sp. 35 MCS-2014. RNAcentral describes it as "eukaryotic LSU rRNA". The stretch from base 1 to 105 matches the Rfam family "5.8S ribosomal RNA", at positions 50 to 154 of the family's 154-position model. The record is from RNAcentral. Lineage: Eukaryota; Fungi.